UUUUCAGUAACUUUUUAUAAUAUUCAACACAAAACUGAAGUAUCUGGUCAAUGCGGACUAAUCUCUGCGACCAACCAAUUUCGCUGUAGCGAUUAAAUAUAAAAAAAAAAAAAAUAAUAUUGCAAGCUAUUUUGGACUCUCAGCACUGAACUUAGUAUUUUAUCAGAUGGACCAAUCCAUUUUCUACACGUUUGGUUCAUUUCAACAUCUCUUUUUAUUGUAUUGUUUAUAAAAAGAAAGUUUAAACAAAGAAGGCCUAUUUGAAUAAUAAAAACUCCUUCGCAGAUUGACAUGAGUCCGAUAUAAUUUUAGACUUAUGUAUACAGAUUGUUAAACGAAAUACCUUACCAUUAAGGCGUAGGAAAAUACAGGAUUUAAGUACCAAUGUAGUCUGCAAGACAUUUAGCAUGAGAAGAAAUGCUAAAUCGGUCAUGUCUCCCAGCUAAGAGAUCGAAAACAAUGCAAACAAAAGCAGAUGCGUACUUCCAACACAUCUUUCACGAUGAUCCCAUCAAACAAAUGACUAUCACUAAAUUUUGCGAUGCGCCUUCCCGCCAUUUUGAUGCUUAUAUACAAAAAAUCCAAAAACUAAUUAAAACUAUAAUCCACACAAACUUUGCAAUUAGCCAUAGCGCAUUAGAAUGGCGGAGCAAGUGACGCAUGUAUCUGUAAGAUCUGUAUAAAUCGGAGAACGACAGAAACAUUUACAAAUCUCUUGUGCUAGGCUAAACGUUCUGAUAGUCUGGGUACCACCAGUCCACAUCGGUCGACACCCUCUACUCACCGACCCACGCAUCUAUCAGGGCCUGGCCCACCUUCUGGACCAUAUGAUCUUCAUGGGCAGCAUUAACUGGGAUAACAUGACAUCGCUUAAGGAAAACGUUUCUACGCAUACCUAGAGCGUCGAAACUGGGCAUGUCAUCUCGACGCUGGCAUAGACGAGACCAGAUAAUCUACAUUCUAUCCACUCCAUGCAAAUCGAUGUGCUGACCGACACCUUUGCCUAUUUAAAGCUCUUCUCAAACUGUUCCAUCAGUUGUGCGUCAGUUGUCGAAGAGCAGCAGUAGAGUAAGGCCGCGAAAUUUCGUAUCCCGGAUCGUCUCUAUUGCCAUGAUCCCGAUGGACUGGUCUUCAGACGCAAAUACUAUCCCUAUAGGAUAUACUCACCGCCAGGGAGCUCACAUACGAGAUUGACGAGAAGUCCCUUCCUGAAUUGAUCAGACACCACAAUAGUUUUAAAUUGAAUCUAAUGAUUACCUCGCAAUAGCCUUUCGAGGGCAUGCCCUUCGUCAAGCGGAAUUAGUGGUUCGGCACUGAAUGCGCCUUUUCACCUUUUCCAUGCCAUGGAUGAAUUACAUAUUUCUUCCCAAAGCCAAUCUCUUUGUGGCCCACGACUUAAACCUGAUCAGGAAUGAGCAGAGUAAGCCCAAGCUGCUUAGAACGGACACCAGCGAGCUGUGGUUCCGACACGAUGACAACUUCAACAAGCCCCAGGCCUGCUGCGGCAACAUCUGGCCAAAUGCCUUCAGAUCCUCCAGAGUCUCUGGGAAAUUACACGGAGGUGUCGCAGAUUGGCGCAGAUCGAGAACUACUUUCAAAAAGGAGAGAAAACAAAGACAACUUUGACUAAAUCAUAUCCGGGUACUAAAUCUUCGGUCGUAAUUAAAGCGGAUAUAUGUAAUAGUUUCCUGAACGACACGGAAGGCUCCAAUUUGCGCAAGCUAUCGGUUCAGAUCAUUGAGCGACGGCCAGAGGUACAAUUCUUAGACCAGAACCAGGAUCCCAAUUGAAAUGACUUCAAUAUAGUAUUCCUGUCAGAAGACAGGGACGGAGAUAUUGUCGAUAUUGCCAAUUUUAAUUUUUAUACAGCCUGCGCGCGAAUUACUAAUAUAAAUAUUAAAAAUAAACACACAUUUAUGUAUAAAA
This is a long non-coding RNA of Drosophila subobscura, 1926 nucleotides long. RefSeq lists it as uncharacterized. Lineage: Eukaryota; Metazoa; Arthropoda; Insecta; Diptera; Drosophilidae. The record is from RefSeq and is a predicted model, not a curated record. The transcript is spliced from 4 exons.